AGGCAAUGCGUCACCCUGCUUCGGCUCGCGCACGGUGCGUGCACCCACUGACCUGCGACCACUGUCUGGCACUCCCUAGUGAGAUGAACCCUGUACCUCAGAUGGAAAUGCAGAAAUCACCCGUCUUCUGCGUCGCUCAUGCUGGGAGCUGUAGACUGGAGCUGUUCCUAUUCGGCCAUCUUGGCUCUUCCCCCGUUUUACAAUUUAAAGGGCCAUCUUGGCUCUUCCCCCGUUUUACAAUUUAAAGGUGAUUAGGCUUCCUAAAUGCUUCAUAAAAUGCCACUAUGACUCUUAACUGUACAGCUUGCCUACUCUACAGCUGGGUAAGGCCUGGGACACAUGGAGUUAGACACUGGAAAGGCUCAGAUCUUAUCUGCAUUUCUGUUUGGGUCGUAGGCUCCACACCUAGUACAUAAUUAAAAUCCCUUACCAAGGUUUUCACCAAAAGUAAAAGAUGCUAAGAGUUAACAUUUUAAUAUGUAAUUGAGACUACUGAAAAAAUAAGUUUACAUACAAGGUUUGUAAAGGGAAUAAAAUGUGUUUUUGUGAGAGAUUAUAAGAAAGUAUGGGAAUGUAAAUUUUUGUCUAGGUUAGAGGGUUAAAGAUUUAUUUUGAAUUAAAAAGCUAAAGGUUAGAACAAGUUGUGAAUGGUUUAUAAAAAUUAAUUACAAGAGAUUCUAUGUGUGAAUGUAUUGGCUAAAGUUAAAAUGGCAUUAUUCAUUUUUUUUCUAUAAAUUGGACAUUGGAAUAGAAGAACAACAGAGUUUUCUUAGAACAUUGUUCUGCUCUGAGAAAAAAAGUUGUAAAGGGUUAUAAAAGGUUUAUGAAAAUCUUACCUUAUGGUCAAACUAAUUAAAACAAUAGAUUUAUAAAAUGUCAUUAAAAACUAGCUUUAACAUAAAAAAUACACUAAUGGGAACAUAAAAUUUGUUUUUCUCUUUUAAAAAGGAUUUUUAUGUAAUAUUAAAAGAUAAAAGGUUUUAGUUUACCUUUUAAGUAAGCUACAAAAGGGAAAAGUGGAGGGAAGGAAAGAAAGGAGACAGAGUCAAUUGUCCUAAUGCUAUCUU
Molecule: long non-coding RNA, 1067 nt
Filed under: Homo sapiens (human)
Lineage: Eukaryota; Metazoa; Chordata; Mammalia; Primates; Hominidae
Description: non-protein coding LINC02456:8
Source: RNAcentral